Molecule: unclassified non-coding RNA, 240 nt
Filed under: soil metagenome
Description: partial contains 5.8S ribosomal RNA, internal transcribed spacer 2, and large subunit ribosomal RNA
Source: RNAcentral
AACCUAGCACACCUGCGGUGUGUACCUGCGGAAGGAUCAUUACCGAGUUUACAACUCCCAAACCCAAUGUGAACCAUACCAAACUGUUGCCUCGGCGGGGUCACGCCCCGGGUGCGUCGCAGCCCCGGAACCAGGCGCCCGCCGGAGGGACCAACCAAACUCUUUACUGUAGUCCCCUCGCGGACGUUAUUUCUUACAGCUCUGAGCAAAAAUUCAAAAUGAAUCAAAACUUUUAGCAAU